RNAcentral lists this ribosomal RNA (506 nucleotides) under uncultured bacterium. Its description in RNAcentral is "partial 16S ribosomal RNA". It matches the Rfam family "Bacterial small subunit ribosomal RNA", at positions 30 to 523 of the family's 1533-position model. The record is from RNAcentral.
AUUGAACGCUGGCGGUAUGCUUAACACAUGCAAGUCGAACGGCAGCAUGGUCUAGCUUGCUAGACUGAUGGCGAGUGGCGGACGGGUGAGUAACGCGUAGGAAUAUGCUUUGAAGAGUGGGACAACUUGGGGAAACUCAAGCUAAUAGCGCAUGUACUCGAGAGAGUAAAGCUGGGGACCUUUAGGCCUGGCGCUUUAAGAUUAGCCUGCGUCCGAUUAGCUAGUUGGUAGGGUAAAGGCCUACCAAGGCGACGAUCGGUAGCUGGUCUGAGAGGAUGAUCGGCCACACUGGAACUGCGAGACGGUCCAGACUCCUACGGGAGGCAGCAGUGGGGAAGAUUGGACAAUGGGGGGAACCCUGAUCCAGCAAUGCCGCGUGUGUGAAGAAGGCCUGAGGGUUGUAAAGCACUUUCAGUGGGGAGGAGGUUUGGAAGGUUAAGAGCUAUUCAAAUGGACGUUACCCACAGAAGAAGCACCGGCUAACUCCGUGCCAGCCGCCGCGGUAA